UACGUAGGGUGCAAGCGUUGUCCGGAAUUAUUGGGCGUAAAGAGCUCGUAGGCGGUCUGUCGCGUCUGCUGUGAAAACUCAGGGCUUAACCCUGAGCUUGCAGUGGGUACGGGCAGACUAGAGUGCGGUAGGGGAGACUGGAAUUCCAGGUGUAGUGGUGGAAUGCGUAGAGAUCCGGAGGAACACCAGCGGCGAAGGCGGCAUCCUGGACCGACACUGACACUGAGGAG
RNAcentral lists this ribosomal RNA (230 nucleotides) under uncultured bacterium. RNAcentral's name for it is "partial 16S ribosomal RNA". It matches the Rfam family "Bacterial small subunit ribosomal RNA", at positions 524 to 753 of the family's 1533-position model. The record is from RNAcentral.